AGCGCAGGCGGCCAAGUCAGUCUGAAGCGAAAGCCCGGGGCUUAACCCCGGAAUAGCUUUGGAUACUGCCUGGCUUGAGUGUGCGAUAGGAAAGCGGAAUUCCAGGUGUAGCGGUGAAAUGCGUAGAUAUCUGGAGGAACACCGGUGGCGAAAGCGGCUUUCUGGCGCAUAACUGACGCUGAGGCUCGAAAGCGUGGGGAGCGAACG
This 207-nucleotide ribosomal RNA is filed under the name uncultured bacterium. RNAcentral describes it as "partial 16S ribosomal RNA". It matches the Rfam family "Bacterial small subunit ribosomal RNA", at positions 568 to 774 of the family's 1533-position model. The record is from RNAcentral.